Molecule: transfer RNA, 75 nt
Filed under: Physcomitrium patens
Lineage: Eukaryota; Viridiplantae; Streptophyta; Bryopsida; Funariales; Funariaceae
Description: Physcomitrella patens tRNA-ARG(CCG)
Rfam family: tRNA
About the family: Transfer RNA (tRNA) molecules are approximately 80 nucleotides in length.
Source: RNAcentral
GGUUUUGUAGCUCAGUGGAUUAGAGCGUAUGGUUCCGAACCAUAAAGCCAAGGGUUCGAAUCCCUUCUAAACCAU